CGGUGUAACGCCAGAGGGCAGGUAACUGCUGAUUUUCACUACCUAAGGCUAGGUCUUUUGGUGAUUUUGUGUUUUUUGGGACUCUCCAUGCGGGUGUUGGAGGGGCAAAGAUAACUUCCAUAAUCAAGUGCGAUAUCAGAAGAAAUACGCCCCGCGAAAUUUUAGAAUUCUACUAAAGUUGGAUAUAGCCAAUUUUGUAAUUGUUAGAGAUAAUCACAAACUUAAGCACCUUUUUGAUGUUAAAUGGACAGGCCAUGAGGUUGUUGGUACUAAAGGUGAUGUAACCUACGAGAUUUUGAGAAAUGGUAAGAUUAUAGGCGUCCAUAUCAAUGAUAUUAGACCUGCAUUUUUUCAUAAGUAUACAGUUACCAUGAGAAAGUUCGCAUCCGAAUCAUCAAUUCAUGAGCCAUUGUUUCAGCCCUCAUCCAAACAAAUUGUCGAGUUUCCAGAUUUGACUGCUUCUUGAGCGGGAUAGCUCAAGUUCGAAUGGUGAACUGAUCUUAGAACGACGCCAUUGCACAAUUAUCCUGGAUAAUUCAACCUCUUACAGCGACGGGCACAACUUCAAAAAGCCGAACUUGCGCUUACAAAGAAAGAAGCCCCCAGAGAAUCGUCAAGCGAGUCGUGAUUUCAAACUAUCAUCCCCUAUGAAGAGGUCACCCAGAGUACGCAAAGUUCGCAAUAAAUGUAAUUGUUGCGACUAAGUAGAAAUGCCAAAUUGGAUCUGUGUGGACAAUAUCUGAUUUAAUUUCCACUGUUUUCUUAAUCAUGAUAAUAUGUAGUAAUUUUGAGUUUGAAGAAUUGCUUUGUAAUAAUAUAAUAAUAAUAAUAUUUAUUCAAUUUAAACUUUACAAUAACAUAAUCUAUAAAACUGAUUUAAGUGGAAUAAAUGUUUUGUUUCACUGAAGCAUUGCGAAAUGCUUAUGCGUGACACACCAAUAUUAAAUGAAACCAAUAAUAAUUACAAUAAUAACAACGAGGCAAAGAAUCUGCUUGUUACAUUUAUAGUAAUAUAAUAUAUACUCAUACAUGUAAGCAAAAAUAAAAAAAAUAAAACGAGGAUAAAAACAUUAACUCACUAGACAUGUGAAUAUACAUAAUUCAAGGCUUAUUUACGUUUGAUAUUUUAAGUUAAUGAGGUUAUCAAAAAGUCGUCUGCCCAUCUGAAACAUCCAUAUCUUGACAUCUUUUUUAAAUUUUGUAAAGAUGGUUUGUUCUCUUAUAUAUGCUGGUAGCAUGUUAUAUAACCUAGGUGAGAAUAUAAUGAUCGUUGUCCGUGUGUUUUUGUUCUAACUGUGGGAUAGACGUCCUUGUUUUGUCUGUUUAUGGUAUGAUAAGUGCAUAGCAUUUGGAUGUCUUUUAAUAUACUAAAGCAGUAUAACUGACGUAUCUCGAGAAUUUCAUUCUCCUCAAACAGUAGGUCCGAUGGGUAAGUUUUUUGUUUGCUAUAAAUUAUUUUUAGAAACCACUUUUGCAACACAUUUAGAUUUUUCAGGUCGUUUUCAGAGACCCCGCCCCAACCCAGGAUGCUAUAGGAAAGGUGAGUUUGUACUAAUGACAUAUAUUUCGGCUUAAAAAAUCUCGUAGAUUCCACUUGGGCUGAGUCAAUAGUAACACCAAGAUAAUUAAACGAUGUUACUUGCGGAAUUCCUGUCAUUUCAACUGUUAGAUUUCCGAUGUUUGGGAGUUGAUUUUAUAUAUAUAGAAUGAGAAAGGUAGCUAUUUGGUCUUCUGUAAAUUCAAUGUUUGGAGGUAGAACAGAUGCGAUUGACACAACUCCACAACGCAGACGAAGAAGUUUGAUUUUUAUUAAUUUCAUUUUGUACAUGUUUACGCUUAGCAUUUUUUAUUUGCACCCGCAAUUUAUUUUUAUAACUGUUGUAACCGCUUUUUAAUAAUUGGUUGUUCGGGUUCUUAACUAAGUCUCUAUAUAAUUGUUUUUUUCCCUAAUUGUUUUUUGUAGCUCUUUCGUCAUCCAUUCUUUUUUAAAAUUAUUUUUAUGUUUAUAAAAAAUGUUAUUUGUGUUAUUUUCUAUGUACGUCUAUAAUUUAUUAAUAAAAUUUUCCAUGGCAGCGUUUGCCAACCAAUUUUCCCUCUGCAAGACAUGUCUCAAACUAGGAUAAUUAGUGUAUUUUUAUUUACGAUUAUAUCUUUGUCUUUUUUUGAGUUGCUAUUAGGAGGGAUGGAAAUAGCUAUUGGAUAAUGAUCCGUGAUGUCAACAUCAAAGAUAAACGAUUUUGAAUUAUUUACUAUAUGGGCUGGUCCUUUUAUGAAAAAGUGAUCUAAACAAAACAAACAAACAAAGAUCUUGCUCUUGUAACUUUAUUAAUGUAGGAUGUGAAUGUGUAUUUUGUUAAGAUGUUUUUGUAUUCUUCAACAUAAUCGACAUCACUUAAUAAAUCAAUGUUGAUAUCCCCAACCAAUUUAUGAAAACUGUAUUUCUUCCUAUCAUCCAAAUAUUGAAGUAAAUGCAUGUUAAACUGGACCUCGUCUAUUCUAGGUGAUUUAUGGAUACAACUUAGAAGAACAUUUUGAUUGUUUACUGAGAUAAUACCAAUAAUAAUAAUACUAAUACUUUUGUAUCCCAUUUGUACAGUGUUAUACUCAAAAUUUAGUUGCGAUUUCAUAUAUACAAUGACACCAUAAUUCCUAUUUACAUUACCAUUGUUAUAAAGAAUAUUGUAACCCUUUAAAUUGAAGGGAGUUUUGUUUAUAUCAUACUGGAUAAAUGUUUCGGACAGCACAAUUACAUCAAACUCUGUAACAAAACUGUCAAGAAACAAAGAAAAUUCCUCAAAGUUUUUGCUUAAGCUGCCUAUGUAAAUGUGAAUUAUUUUAAAAUCGAUUGCAUUGAGAAAUGUAUUAUUAAAUAU
Long non-coding RNA from Cylas formicarius (sweet potato weevil), 2873 nucleotides. RefSeq lists it as uncharacterized. The transcript has 3 exons. The record is from RefSeq and is a predicted model, not a curated record. Lineage: Eukaryota; Metazoa; Arthropoda; Insecta; Coleoptera; Brentidae.